RNAcentral lists this ribosomal RNA (494 nucleotides) under uncultured bacterium. Its description in RNAcentral is "partial 16S ribosomal RNA". It matches the Rfam family "Bacterial small subunit ribosomal RNA", at positions 28 to 507 of the family's 1533-position model. The record is from RNAcentral.
GACGAACGCUGGCGGCGUGCUUAACACAUGCGAGUCGAACGGAAAGGCCUGCUUUCCCUUGUGGAUUGCGGGUACUCGAGUGGCGAACGGGUGAGUAACACGUGAGUGAUCUGCCCCCAACUUGGGUAUAAGCCUGGGAAACUGGGUCUAAUUCCCGAUAGGACUGCAGGGUGGUGCCUGUGGUGGAAAACGAUUUUCUAGUGGUUGGGGAUGAGCUCGCGGCCUAUCAGCUUGUUGGUGGGGUAAUGGCCUACCAAGGCGGCGACGGGUAGCCGGCCUGGGAGGGUGGACGGCCACAUUGGGACUGGGAGACGGCCCAGACUCCGACGGGAGGCAGCAGUGGGGAAUAGUGCACAAUGGGCGGAAGCCUGAUGCAGCGACGCCGCGUGGGGGAUGACGGCCUUCGGGUUGUAAACUCCUUUCGACCGCGAGGAAGCCACCUGGUUGGAAGGGUGGUGACGGUAGUGGUAGAAGAAGCACCGGCUAACUACGUG